GGUUAAGCGACUAAGCGUACACGGUGGAUGCCCUGGCAGUCAGAGGCGAUGAAGGGCGUGCUAAUCUGCGAUAAGCGCCGGUAAGGUGAUAUGAACCGUUAUAACCGGCGAUACCCGAAUGGGGAAACCCAGUGUGACUCGUCACACUAUCAUUAACUGAAUCCAUAGGUUAAUGAGGCGAACCGGGGGAACUGAAACAUCUAAGUACCCCGAGGAAAAGAAAUCAACCGAGAUUCCCCCAGUAGCGGCGAGCGAACGGGGAGGAGCCCAGAGCCUGAAUCAGCAUGUGUGUUAGUGGAAGCGUCUGGAAAGGCGCGCGAUACAGGGUGACAGCCCCGUACACAAAAGCGCAUGUGCUGUGAGCUCGAUGAGUAGGGCGGGACACGUGGUAUCCUGUCUGAAUAUGGGGGGACCAUCCUCCAAGGCUAAAUACUCCUGACUGACCGAUAGUGAACCAGUACCGUGAGGGAAAGGCGAAAAGAACCCCGGCGAGGGGAGUGAAAAAGAACCUGAAACCGUGUACGUACAAGCAGUGGGAGCACCCUUUG
Molecule: ribosomal RNA, 548 nt
Filed under: Salmonella enterica
Lineage: Bacteria; Pseudomonadati; Pseudomonadota; Gammaproteobacteria; Enterobacterales; Enterobacteriaceae
Also listed under: 1 other name
Description: partial 23S ribosomal RNA
Rfam family: Bacterial large subunit ribosomal RNA
Source: RNAcentral